UUAUAGUGUUACCUCCGAGCCAUGUAACCUGUAAUGUUAGAUUAUGGUUACUUGGCCGAUAGGGUUUACCUGGAAACGGGUAGGCCUCCCGUGCGGAAAGGAUGGUAAUUUAUUUGUUAU
This 120-nucleotide non-coding RNA is filed under the name Desulforamulus ferrireducens. RNAcentral describes it as "Desulfotomaculum ferrireducens MoCo sequence". It matches the Rfam family "Molybdenum/Tungsten riboswitch aptamer (Moco RNA motif)". Lineage: Bacteria; Bacillati; Bacillota; Clostridia; Eubacteriales; Peptococcaceae. The record is from Rfam by way of RNAcentral.